AUUGAACGCUGGCGGCAGGCCUAACACAUGCAAGUCGAGCGGAUGAAGGGAGCUUGCUCCUGGAUUCAGCGGCGGACGGGUGAGUAAUGCCUAGGAAUCUGCCUGGUAGUGGGGGAUAACGUCCGGAAACGGGCGCUAAUACCGCAUACGUCCUGAGGGAGAAAGGGGGGGAUCUUCGGACCUCACGCUAUCAGAUGAGCCUAGGUCGGAUUAGCUAGUUGGUGGGGUAAAGGCCUACCAAGGCGACGAUCCGUAACUGGUCUGAGAGGAUGAUCAGUCACACUGGAACUGAGACACGGUCCAGACUCCUACGGGAGGCAGCAGUGGGGAAUAUUGGACAAUGGGCGAAAGCCUGAUCCAGCCAUGCCGCGUGUGUGAAGAAGGUCUUCGGAUUGUAAAGCACUUUAAGUGGGGAGGAAGGGCAGUAAGUUAAUACCUUGCUGUUUUGACGUUACCAACAGAAUAAGCACCGGCUAGCUUCGUG
RNAcentral lists this ribosomal RNA (484 nucleotides) under uncultured bacterium. Its description in RNAcentral is "partial 16S ribosomal RNA". It matches the Rfam family "Bacterial small subunit ribosomal RNA", at positions 30 to 507 of the family's 1533-position model. The record is from RNAcentral.